Long non-coding RNA from Ylistrum balloti, 1056 nucleotides. RefSeq lists it as uncharacterized. The transcript is spliced from 2 exons. The record is from RefSeq and is a predicted model, not a curated record. NCBI's taxonomy places the organism in Eukaryota, Metazoa, Mollusca, Bivalvia, Pectinida, Pectinidae.
GUUCUCUCUCACACAGCUCAGUUAGCUAUUCAAUACGGCAGUGAAAUGCACUAGUAAAUUCUAUGUAAACAAUCAAAAGGACAGUGCUCAUCCCAAAAUAACGUAUUCUCCAGGCGUAAUGGAAACACAGCACGAAGAUUCAUCCUUCUGUCAUGAGUCAUGUGCUGAAGCCUUGAUAUUUUAUUUCCCUUACGGCGUCCGUGACGACGGUGGGAUAAUUAAAGAUAGAAAUGCACAUUUUUAUCAUUUCUGUUAUAAUAUCCACGGGAAUAUUACAGCAAACAAAUUUGCAACAUACUUUUAUUAAAACAUACGUUUGAAUCAUUUCACACGUCGUAUCACUUUGAGGUUUCUUUUUGAGUUGGCUGUUAAAUGAAUGAACCACUACUCUGCUACAAUAAGCGUGUGUCUGCUUUAGCAAAUAUUUUCGGUCAACAACCGAAUGUCAAUCGGAAACCGUUCGGGAAUUCCCGUCAAACUUCCAACCUGACGGAGUGACACAAAUAGAUACAGAGCAACAGAAUGAUGACAAUGUCUGUUGGGAAAUCAGUCUUUUAUCUUGUUCGUGGUGCUGCGUGAAUAUGAAAUUAUUCACUAUUGUAACUAGCUGAACCAUUGACGCUGUUAGUUACCUGGCCCACUGAAAUUUUGUGCAAUUGCCAUAUCGAACCCAUAUGGCCCAAGAAAUGUUGUUACCUUUAUAAGCCUCUUAAUCUUAUACGCAUGUUUCUCCAAUAGAUAAAAAAAGAAUUUGUUUUGAAAUUUUCAGUGAUAGUUUGUUCAUUUCAAAAUUACUAUGGAUUUCUUUUUUUCUUCUUCUUUUUUUAUUUGUAUUUUAUUUUCCACAAUGCUUUCCCCAAGUCUGUCAGCAGUAAUUUCUGUUUGCAUGGUGCUAUUGUCAACAACACCACUCAGUUAGAUACUUAGUAAUAUCUAAGUAAGAAACGGACACAAAAGACAGCAUUGUGUGGGUUGUUCAACUCUACGAUUCUAAGAUAUGGACUAGACUGGCUGGGCUUCGCGUAAGUGUAUGCUAAUAAAAUCGAUAUACGGAAA